AUGGUUGGACGAAAAAUAUACUUUCUUUAUUUUAUAUAAAUAAAUUAAUUUUUUAGUUAAAAAGCUAAGAUUUUUUUAUAGGACGAGAAGACCCUAUAGAACUUUAUUUUCUACAUAUAUAUAUUUUAUAGAUUUUUAAAAUAUUAUAUAUUAAUAGUUAAUUUAAUUGGGGUGAUUGAAAAAAUUAUAUAACUUUUUCUAUUUCUAUCAUUUAUUUAUGAUGUUUUUGAUCCUUUAAUAUGGAAAAUAAGAUUAAGUUACCUUAGGGAUAACAGCGUUAUUUUUUUGGAGAG
Molecule: ribosomal RNA, 293 nt
Filed under: Pinalitus oromii
Lineage: Eukaryota; Metazoa; Arthropoda; Insecta; Hemiptera; Miridae
Description: partial 16S ribosomal RNA
Source: RNAcentral